UCGGGAAUUUUGGGCAAUGGGCGAAAGCCUGACCCAGCAACGCCGCGUGAAGGAUGAAGUAUUUCGGUAUGUAAACUUCGAAAGAAUAGGAAGAAUAAAUGACGGUACUAUUUAUAAGGUCCGGCUAACUACGUGCCAGCAGCCGCGGUAAUACGUAGGGACCAAGUGUUGUUCGGAUUUACUGGGCGUAAAGGGCGCGUAGGCGGCAAUUCAAGUCAUCUGUGAAAUCUCCGGGCUUAACUCGGAACGGUCAGAUGAUACUGCUUUGCUAGAGUGCAGAAGGGGCAAUCGGAAUUCUUGGUGUAGCGGUGAAAUGCGUAGAUAUCAAGAGGAACACCUGAGGUGAAGACGGGUUGCUGGGCUGACACUGACGCUGAGGCGCGAAAGCCAGGGGAGCAAACGGGAUUAGAUACCCUCGUAGUCCCUGAGCGGGCUGGCAAGGCGCAU
Molecule: ribosomal RNA, 447 nt
Filed under: uncultured bacterium
Lineage: Bacteria
Description: bacterial SSU rRNA
Rfam family: Bacterial small subunit ribosomal RNA
Source: RNAcentral